This 64-nucleotide transfer RNA is filed under the name Gnathostomula armata. RNAcentral describes it as "tRNA-Met". Lineage: Eukaryota; Metazoa; Gnathostomulida; Bursovaginoidea; Gnathostomulidae. The record is from RNAcentral.
AAUAAUGUAAGCUAAAUUAAAGCUAUCAGGUUCAUACCCUGCAAAUACUACAAUGUCUUUAUAU